GGUUUUGCCCUGUGUCGUGGUCGCCUGAGUCGCAAGGACGGGCGAUAAUAGGGAAGCCGGUGCGGGCAAAUUGCUCCUGUCCGGCGCUGCCCCCGCAACUGUGAUAGUCGGCUACGCCGACCAGCCAGAUACCUGCCACGACAGGUUCAAUCAA
This 154-nucleotide non-coding RNA is filed under the name Devosia sp. Root413D1. The record is from RNAcentral. RNAcentral also lists the same sequence under 1 other name. Lineage: Bacteria; Pseudomonadati; Pseudomonadota; Alphaproteobacteria; Hyphomicrobiales; Devosiaceae.